This 272-nucleotide ribosomal RNA is filed under the name unidentified marine bacterioplankton. RNAcentral's name for it is "partial 16S ribosomal RNA". It matches the Rfam family "Bacterial small subunit ribosomal RNA", at positions 70 to 339 of the family's 1533-position model. The record is from RNAcentral.
CACAUGAGUAGCAAUACGAUGGUGGCGACCGGCGCACGGGUGAGUAACACGUAUGCAACCUACCUGUAAGAGGGGAAUAACCCGGAGAAAUUCGGACUAACACCGCAUAAUACCGAUUAACUGCAUGGUUGAUCGGUUAAAUAUUUAUAGCUUACAGAUGGGCAUGCGUAACAUUAGAUAGUUGGUGAGGUAACGGCUCACCAAGUCAACGAUGUUUAGGGGUUCUGAGAGGAAGGUCCCCCACACUGGUACUGAGACACGGACCAGACUCC